RNAcentral lists this ribosomal RNA (497 nucleotides) under uncultured bacterium. Its description in RNAcentral is "partial 16S ribosomal RNA". It matches the Rfam family "Bacterial small subunit ribosomal RNA", at positions 28 to 507 of the family's 1533-position model. The record is from RNAcentral.
GAUGAACGCUGGCGGCGUGCCUAAUACAUGCAAGUCGAGCGAACAGACGAGGAGCUUUCUCCUCUGACGUUAGCGGCGGACGGGUGAGUAACACGUGGAUAACCUACCUAUAAUACUUGGAUAACAUCGUGAAGCCGGAUCUAAUACCGCAUAAUAUAUUGAACCGCAUGGUGCAAUAGUUAAACACGGUUUUGCUGACACUUAGAGAUGGAUCCGCGUCGCAUUAGCUAGUUGGUAAGGUAACGGCUUACCAAGGCAACGAUGCGUAGCCGACCUGAGAGGAUGAUCAGCCACACUGGAACUGAGACACGGUCCAGACUCCUACGGGAGGCAGCAGUAGGGAAUAUUCCGCAAUGGGCGCAAGCCUGAUGGAGCCACGCCGCGUGAGUGAUGAAGGUCUUCGGAUCGUAAAACUCUGUUAUUAGGGAAGAAAAAAAGUGUAAGUAACCCUGCACGUCUUGACGGUACCCAAUCAGAAAGCAACGGCUAACUUCGUG